This 553-nucleotide ribosomal RNA is filed under the name uncultured archaeon. RNAcentral describes it as "bacterial SSU rRNA". It matches the Rfam family "Archaeal small subunit ribosomal RNA", at positions 325 to 879 of the family's 1478-position model. The record is from RNAcentral.
ACGGGGUGCAGCAGGCGCGAAAACUUCACACUGGGGGGAACCCCGAUGAGGGAAAUCCUAGUGCUAGGACAUUUGUUCUAGCUUUUCUCAAGCGUAGAUAACUUGAGGAAUAAGGGCUGGGUAAGACGGGUGCCAGCCGCCGCGGUAAUACCCGCAGCCCAAGUGGUGGUCGAUUUUAUUGAGUCUAAAACGUUCGUAGCCGGUUUGGUAAAUCUUUGGGUAAAUCGGGAGGCUCAACUUUCCGACUUCCGAAGAGACUGCCAAACUUGGGACCGGGAGAGGCUAGAGGUACUUCUGGGGUAGGGGUAAAAUCCUGUAAUCCUAGAAGGACCACCGGUGGCGAAGGCGUCUAGCUAGAACGGAUCCGACGGUGAGGGACGAAGCCCUGGGUCGCAAACGGGAUUAGAUACCCCGGUGGUCCAGGGUGUAAACGCUGCCGACUUGGUGUUGGAGGCCCUUCGGGGGCAUUCAGUGCCGGAGAGAAGUUGUUAAGUCGGCUACUUGGGGAGUACGUCCGCAAGGAUGAAACUUAAAGGAAUUGGCGGGGGAGCAC